This 204-nucleotide ribosomal RNA is filed under the name uncultured bacterium. RNAcentral's name for it is "partial 16S ribosomal RNA". It matches the Rfam family "Bacterial small subunit ribosomal RNA", at positions 568 to 774 of the family's 1533-position model. The record is from RNAcentral.
CGUGUAGGCGGCCAGACAGGUCUGUUGUGAAAACUGGAGGCUUAACCUCCAGACGUCGACAGAAACCGUCUGGCUAGAGUCCGGAAGAGGAGAGUGGAAUUCCUGGUGUAGCGGUGAAAUGCGCAGAUAUCAGGAAGAACACCAAUGGCGAAGGCAGCUCUCUGGGACGGUACUGACGCUGAGCGCGAAGCGUGGGAGCGAACA